This 497-nucleotide ribosomal RNA is filed under the name uncultured bacterium. RNAcentral's name for it is "partial 16S ribosomal RNA". It matches the Rfam family "Bacterial small subunit ribosomal RNA", at positions 28 to 507 of the family's 1533-position model. The record is from RNAcentral.
GAUGAACGCUGGCGGCGUGCCUAAUACAUGCAAGUCGAGCGAACAGAUGAGGAGCUUGCUCCUCUGACGUUAGCGGCGGACGGGUGAGUAACACGUGGAUAACCUACCUAUAAGACUGGGAUAACUUCGGGAAACCGGAGCUAAUACCGGAUAAUAUAUUGAACCGCAUGGUUCAAUAGUGAAAGACGGUUUUGCUGUCACUUAUAGAUGGAUCCGCGCCGCAUUAGCUAGUUGGUAAGGUAACGGCUUACCAAGGCAACGAUGCGUAGCCGACCUGAGAGGGCGAUCGGCCACACUGGAACUGAGACACGGUCCAGACUCCUACGGGAGGCAGCAGUAGGGAAUCUUCCGCAAUGGGCGAAAGCCUGACGGAGCAACGCCGCGUGAGUGAUGAAGGUCUUCGGAUCGUAAAACUCUGUUAUUAGGGAAGAACAAAUGUGUAAGUAACUAUGCACGUCUUGACGGUACCUAAUCAGAAAGCCGCGGCUAACUACGUG